UAGGGAAUAUUGGUAAUGGGCGAAAGCCUGAACCAGCAACGCCGCGUGUGCGAUGAAGGCCUUCGGGUCGUAAAGCACUUUUUGGAGGGAUGAGGAAGGACAGUACCUCCAGAAUAAGCCUCGGCUAACUACGUGCCAGCAGCCGCGGUAACACGUAGGAGGCAAGCGUUAUUCGGAUUUACUGGGCGUAAAGCGCGUGCAGGCGGUUCGGAAAGUUGGAUGUGAAAGCUCCUGGCUUAACUGGGAGAGGUCGUUCAAUACUUCCGGACUUGAGAGUGGGAGAGGGAGGUGGAAUUCCGGGUGUAGCGGUGGAAUGCGCAGAUAUCCGGAGGAACACCAGUGGCGAAAGCGGCCUCCUGGACCAUUCCUGACACUCAGACGCGAAAGCUAGGGUAGCAAACGG
Molecule: ribosomal RNA, 403 nt
Filed under: uncultured bacterium
Lineage: Bacteria
Description: bacterial SSU rRNA
Rfam family: Bacterial small subunit ribosomal RNA
Source: RNAcentral